GCCUCCGUGGCGGAAUUGGUAUACGCGUACGGUUUAGGACCGUAUUCCGUAAGGAUUAGAGGUUCAAGUCCUCUCGGAGGCA
This 82-nucleotide transfer RNA is filed under the name Candidatus Woesebacteria bacterium. RNAcentral's name for it is "tRNA-Leu". It matches the Rfam family "tRNA". Rfam says of the family: Transfer RNA (tRNA) molecules are approximately 80 nucleotides in length. Their secondary structure includes four short double-helical elements and three loops (D, anti-codon, and T loops). The record is from RNAcentral. Lineage: Bacteria; Candidatus Woeseibacteriota.